CUGGCUCAGGAUGAACGCUAGCGGCAGGCUUAACACAUGCAAGUCGAGGGGCAUCGGGAGUGGCAAUACUUGCCGGCGACCGGCGCAAGGGUGCGUAACGCGUGAGCAACAUGCCCGUAUCAGGGGGAUAAUCCAUGGAAACGUGGUCUAAUACCCCAUAGUAAUUAUGUAAGGCAUCUUAUAUAAUUUAAAGCUUUGGUGGAUACGGAUUGGCUCGCGUGACAUUAGCUGGAUGGUAAGGUAACGGCUUACCAUGGCUACGAUGUCUAGGGGUUCUGAGAGGAAGGUCCCCCACACUGGAACUGAGACACGGUCCAGACUCCUACGGGAGGCAGCAGUGAGGAAUAUUGGACAAUGGAUGGAAAUCUGAUCCAGCCAUGCCGCGUGCAGGAAGAACCGGCCCUAUGGGUUGUAAACUGCUUUUGUAUGGGAGCAAUAAGGGCUACGUGUAGUCCGAUGAGAGUACCAUACGAAUAAGCACCGGCUAACUCCGUGCCAGCAGCUGC
Molecule: ribosomal RNA, 506 nt
Filed under: uncultured bacterium
Lineage: Bacteria
Description: bacterial SSU rRNA
Rfam family: Bacterial small subunit ribosomal RNA
Source: RNAcentral